Molecule: ribosomal RNA, 254 nt
Filed under: uncultured bacterium
Lineage: Bacteria
Description: partial 16S ribosomal RNA
Rfam family: Bacterial small subunit ribosomal RNA
Source: RNAcentral
CACGUAGGGUGCGAGCGUUGUCCGGAAUUAUUGGGCGUAAAGAGCUCGUAGGCGGUGUGUCACGUCGGCCGUGAAAACCUGCAGCUUAACUGUGGGCGUGCGGUCGAUACGGGCAUCACUGGAGUUCGGCAGGGGAGACUGGAAUUCCUGGUGUAGCGGUGAAAUGCGCAGAUAUCAGGAGGAACACCGGUGGCGAAGGCGGGUCUCUGGGCCGAUAUUGACGCUGAGGAGCGAAAGCGUGGGGAGCGAACAGG